AUCCUUUUCCAGUUCGUAAGCAUGAUGACUGGGUUCUCACGAGCUUGCAUGACAUGUGCCUCCCUCUAAUCCUUGUUACAGCAUGGGUACAUUACCCGUCUGACA
Small nucleolar RNA from Perognathus longimembris pacificus (Pacific pocket mouse), 105 nucleotides. RefSeq annotates it as small nucleolar RNA U13. The transcript has a single exon. NCBI's taxonomy places the organism in Eukaryota, Metazoa, Chordata, Mammalia, Rodentia, Heteromyidae. The record is from RefSeq and is a predicted model, not a curated record.